UACGUAGGGGGCGAGCGUUGUCCGGAGUUACUGGGCGUAAAGGGCACGCAGGCGGUGCGGCGCGUUUCGCGUGACAGCGGGUGGCUCAACUACCCGAGGAUGCGAAAGACGGCGGCACUUGAGGGCCAGAGAGGGACACGGAAUUCCGGGUGGAGUGGUGAAAUGCGUAGAGAUCCGGAGGAACACCGAAGGCGAAGGCAGUGUCCUGGCUGGUGACUGACGCUGAGGUGCGAAAGCUAGGGGAGCAAACGGG
RNAcentral lists this ribosomal RNA (253 nucleotides) under uncultured bacterium. Its description in RNAcentral is "partial 16S ribosomal RNA". It matches the Rfam family "Bacterial small subunit ribosomal RNA", at positions 524 to 776 of the family's 1533-position model. The record is from RNAcentral.